Molecule: ribosomal RNA, 1434 nt
Filed under: metagenome
Description: bacterial LSU rRNA
Rfam family: Bacterial large subunit ribosomal RNA
Source: RNAcentral
UUAUGUUGGUUCAAGCUUGUAGUCGUGCCUGGUAGGCAAAUCCGCCGGGCUUAGAUGAGGAGUGAUAACGAGGCUGCUUGCAGCCGAAGUGAGUGAUACCCUGCUUCCAGGAAAAGCCACUAAGCUUCAGCUAUACACGACCGUACCGCAAACCGACACUGGUGCGCGAGAUGAGUAUUCUAAGGCGCUUGAGAGAACUCAGGAGAAGGAACUCGGCAAAUUGACACCGUAACUUCGGAAGAAGGUGUGCCUUUAGUAGGUGAAGGGAUUUACUCCUGGAGCCCAAUGAGGUUGCAAAAAAUCGGCGGCUGCGACUGUUUAUUAAAAACACAGCACUCUGCAAACACGAAAGUGGACGUAUAGGGUGUGACGCCUGCCCGGUGCUGGAAGAUUAAAUGAUGGGGUGCAAGCUCUUGAUUGAAGUCCCAGUAAACGGCGGCCGUAACAAUAACGGUCCUAAGGUAGCGAAAUUCCUUGUCGGGUAAGUUCCGACCUGCACGAAUGGCGUAACGAUGGCCACACUGUCUCCUCCUGAGACUCAGCGAAGUUGAAAUGUUUGUGAUGAUGCAAUCUCCCCGCGGAAAGACGGAAAGACCCCAUGAACCUUUACUGUAGCUUUGUAUUGGACUUUGAACAGAUCUGUGUAGGAUAGGUGGGAGGCUUUGAAGUAGGGUCGCUAGAUCUUAUGGAGCCAACGUUGAAAUACCACCCUGGUGUGUUUGAGGUUCUAACCUAGGUCCAUUAUCUGGAUCGGGGACAGUGCAUGGUAGGCAGUUUGACUGGGGCGGUCUCCUCCCAAAGCGUAACGGAGGAGUUCGAAGGUACGCUAGUUACGGUCGGACAUCGUGACGAUAGUGCAAUGGCAUAAGCGUGCUUAACUGCGAGACUGACAAGUCGAGCAGAUGCGAAAGCAGGACAUAGUGAUCCGGUGGUUCUGUAUGGAAGGGCCAUCGCUCAACGGAUAAAAGGUACUCUGGGGAUAACAGGCUGAUACCGCCCAAGAGUUCAUAUCGACGGCGGUGUUUGGCACCUCGAUGUCGGCUCAUCUCAUCCUGGGGCUGUAGCCGGUCCCAAGGGUAUGGCUGUUCGCCAUUUAAAGAGGUACGUGAGCUGGGUUUAAAACGUCGUGAGACAGUUUGGUCCCUAUCUUCCGUGGGCGCUGCAGAUUUGAGGAAGCCUGCUCCUAGUACGAGAGGACCGGAGUGGACACACCUCUGGUGUAUCGGUUGUCACGCCAGUGGCAUUGCCGAGUAGCUAAGUGUGGAAGAGAUAACCGCUGAAAGCAUCUAAGCGGGAAACUCGUUUCAAGAUGAGAUCUGCCGGGGCCUUGAGCCCCCUAAAGAGUCGUUCAAGACCAGGACGUUGAUAGGUCAGGUGUGGAAGCGCAGUAAUGCGUUAAGCUAACUGAUACUAAUUGCUCGUGCGGCUUGACCU